GUGCUCACUUUGGCAGCACGUAUACUAAAAUUGGAACAAUGCAGAGAGGAUUGGCAUGGCCCCUGGGCGAGGACAAUGUGCAAAUUCAUGAAGCCUUUCCUAUUUUG
Molecule: small nuclear RNA, 107 nt
Organism: Tupaia belangeri (northern tree shrew)
Lineage: Eukaryota; Metazoa; Chordata; Mammalia; Scandentia; Tupaiidae
Source: Ensembl